GAACGCUGGCGGCGUGCUUAACACAUGCAAGUCGACCGGAAAGGCCCUGCUUUUGUGGGGUGCUCGAGUGGCGAACGGGUGAGUAACACGUGAGUAACCUGCCCUUGACUUUGGGAUAACUUCGGGAAACUGGGGCUAAUACCGGAUAGGAGCUCCUGCUGCAUGGUGGGGGUUGGAAAGUUUCGGCGGUUGGGGAUGGACUCGCGGCUUAUCAGCUUGUUGGUGGGGUAGUGGCUUACCAAGGCUUUGACGGGUAGCCGGCCUGAGAGGGUGACCGGCCACAUUGGGACUGAGAUACGGCCCAGACUCCUACGGGAGGCAGCAGUGGGGAAUAUUGCACAAUGGGCGGAAGCCUGAUGCAGCAACGCCGCGUGCGGGAUGACGGCCUUCGGGUUGUAAACCGCUUUCGCCUGUGACGAAGCGUGAGUGACGGUAAUGGGUAAAGAAGCACCGGCUAACUACGUG
Molecule: ribosomal RNA, 465 nt
Filed under: uncultured bacterium
Lineage: Bacteria
Description: partial 16S ribosomal RNA
Rfam family: Bacterial small subunit ribosomal RNA
Source: RNAcentral